CCUACGGGAGGCAGCAGUGCGGCAUAUUGGUCAAUGGGCGCGAGCCUGAACCAGCCACGUCGCGUGAAGGAUGACUGCCCUACGGGUUGUAAACUUCUUUUAUAAAGGAAUAACGUGAGGAACGUGUGCCUUUUUGUAUGUACUUUAUGAAUAAGGAUCGGCUAACUCCGUGCCAGCCGCCGCGGUAAUACGGAGGAUCCGAGCGUUAUCCGGAUUGAUUGGGUUUAAAGGGAGCGUAGAUGGGUUGUUAAGUCAGUUGUGAAAGUUUGCGGCUCAACCGUAAAAUUGCAAUUGAGACUGGCAGCCUUGAGUACAGUUGAGGUAGGCGGAAUUCGUGGUGUAGCGGUGAAAUGCUUAGAUAUCACGAAGAACUCCGAUUGCGAAGGCAGCUUACUAAACUGCCACUGACAUUGAUGCUCGAAAGUGUGGGUAUCAAACAGGAUUAGAUACCCGUGUAGUC
RNAcentral lists this ribosomal RNA (460 nucleotides) under uncultured bacterium. RNAcentral's name for it is "partial 16S ribosomal RNA". It matches the Rfam family "Bacterial small subunit ribosomal RNA", at positions 338 to 795 of the family's 1533-position model. The record is from RNAcentral.